This 253-nucleotide ribosomal RNA is filed under the name uncultured prokaryote. RNAcentral's name for it is "partial 16S ribosomal RNA". It matches the Rfam family "Bacterial small subunit ribosomal RNA", at positions 525 to 777 of the family's 1533-position model. The record is from RNAcentral.
ACGAAGGGGGCUAGCGUUGCUCGGAAUCACUGGGCGUAAAGGGUGCGUAGGAGGGCAGGUAAGUCAGUGGUGAAAUCCCCGAGCUUAACUUGGGAACUGCCGUUGAUACUAUCUGUCUUGAAUAUUGUGGAGGUGAGCGGAAUAUGUCAUGUAGCGGUGAAAUGCUUAGAUAUGACAUAGAACACCAAUUGCGAAGGCAGCUCGCUACACAUAUAUUGACUCUGAGGCACGAAAGCGUGGGGAUCAAACAGGA